RNAcentral lists this ribosomal RNA (128 nucleotides) under Burkholderia cenocepacia. RNAcentral describes it as "partial 16S ribosomal RNA". It matches the Rfam family "Bacterial small subunit ribosomal RNA", at positions 1 to 126 of the family's 1533-position model. Lineage: Bacteria; Pseudomonadati; Pseudomonadota; Betaproteobacteria; Burkholderiales; Burkholderiaceae. RNAcentral also lists the same sequence under 2 other names. The record is from RNAcentral.
AAACUGAAGAGUUUGAUCCUGGCUCAGAUUGAACGCUGGCGGCAUGCCUUACACAUGCAAGUCGAACGGCAGCACGGGUGCUUGCACCUGGUGGCGAGUGGCGAACGGGUGAGUAAUACAUCGGAACA